UUCCAAAUAGACCCCCGGCAUCCUUCCCUCCAAGAACUUCCCACCUUGCUCUUGGGGAGACUCGAACUCACAACCUCUCGGUCGGAAGUGGGGGUUGCAUACCAUCAGAGCAACCCCUCUUGUCAAACAUGCAACAUUGCAAUUACAUUAAAUAAAUAAGAGUAGCUUUUAUAAUUCGGCAAAAAUAAAGAAGAAAUAAAUAAAUCUUACCCAUUGCCCACAUGCCUGAUGAUCAACCUAUGGUAAUGAUCAUAACGCACAUCAUCCGCAUCAUUAUCCGGAUCAUCUGAAGCAUGUGCAGAAGUGGGGGCAUCUGACUCAGUGCUACUAUCCUGAACACGAUGUCUAGAAAUGCUAGGAGAUGAACUCUGUGGAGAGGGAGACAGGGUCUCAAAUGAAGAUGGUUGUGAUCCACAUCCCUGCACCGAUCUUAGACCCAUGCUGCGAUCCAGACCCCUGCUGCGAUCCGGCCGUCUGAAAUCUAGAUGGAUGCGAUCCUGCCGGAGAUGAAGCAAAUGGAGCAGAUGACAGGCGUAUCUCAUGUCUAUGUGACUAAUGACUUGAUGCACCCAUGUAAUUAUUGGUAGGAUCAUUAGGAGGAAGCGGGGUAUAGCCUAGUGGCGGAGAAUUGAACAUGGCUAUGUGACUGGUGACUUGAUGCACCCAUGUAACUAUUGGCAGGAUCAUUAAGAGGAAGCGGGGUAUAGCCCUGUGGCGGAGAAUUGUGAUAAUACUGCUGGACCGGCGAGGUAGUAUAAUGAAUAGAUGG
Molecule: long non-coding RNA, 769 nt
Filed under: Nicotiana benthamiana
Lineage: Eukaryota; Viridiplantae; Streptophyta; Magnoliopsida; Solanales; Solanaceae
Description: long non-coding RNA (NBEN_LNC015045)
Source: RNAcentral